UCACUCGCUCAGUCAGCUGUGAGAUUAGUGGCUCCACUCACUGUACUGCCUGCUGACUGCACAGAGACUGGAGCAGACCUCAGAGGCACUGCAGAGAAACAACAUGAGCAAUAACACCCAGACAUCGGAUCAUUCUCAGUACCAGCUUCCAAGCACUCUAUGCUGAGGAAGAGGUGCUGAAGCAGAUUGAGAUGGAGGUGCGAAUGCGGGAGGGAGCCAGUAAGCUACUGGCAGCUUGUUCCAGGAGAGAGCAGGCCCUGGAGGCCUCCAGGAGCCUGCUAACCUGCAAUGCCCGCAUUCUGGCCUUGCUCAGCCAACUACAAAGGAUGAGGAAAGCUCAAAUACUACAAAAAGUGGGACGCAGGCCAUCUGAAGAUGUUGUGCCAUGUGUAGGAAAAGUAUCCCUUUCAGACUUGCGAAUCCCACUGAUGUGGAAAGACUCCGAGUACUUCAAAAACAAAGGAGAGCUACAGCGCUGCGCUGUUUUCUGCUUGCUUCACUGUGGUACAGAGAUCUAUGACACUGAUCUGGUGAUGGUAGACAGGACUUUAACUGACAUCUGUUUUGAAGACACUAUCAUAUUCAGCAGCGAGGUAGGCCCAGGGUUUCAGCUUCGCGUUGAACUGUACAGCAGUUGUACGGUCGAGGAUUUCUCCCCGGGGGCUCUAGGACCCAGGAGAGCGAACCGUCUGGGGGGCUCAGUGGGAUGCUCCUCGGGGAAAAAGAUCCGUGCUGCGUUUGAGUCUGCAGCUGUUUGUGGAUCCAGUGGAGGAAAUGUAGAACCUGGAAGAGUGUCCCCGCCUUUAUCCCCUGACCUGUCUACACUGGGGCCUAAGUAUAACCUGCUGGCUCACACAACACUGAGAAUAGAACACGUCCAGGAAGGUUUCAAGACGCAUGAUUUGUCACUGGCAGCAACAGAGAAUAAUCCAUUCUGGUUGCCCCUAUACGGCAACAUGUGCUGCCGUCUAGUUGCUCAGCCGCUGUGCAUGAUUCAGCCAACGAUAAGUGGCCAACUCAAGGUUAAGCUUGGAGAGGACCUUAAUUGCUGGGAAAAUGUCUAUGGAGUCCUCAGGGAGCAAAGUCUUCUCUGCUAUCAGAGUCAAGAAGACCUGGAGUCUGAGGACAAGCUAUUACUUGUAAUCCCCAUCAAAAAGCAUACCCUUGUCUGUGUGUCAGAGAGGGAUCCUGUCGAUCACCAGAGUAUAUAUAUCAGCACACAGCAUCAAGGAGAGGAACUAACCUUCACGCUAACCACGCACACACCUGAAGACACGCAGCGCUGGACCCAGGCCAUCUGGCAGCACGUCUACAACAUGGGCCAGUGGAAGCAGUGUUGUGAUCACCUCAUGAAGAUUGAAAUGCCGAGCUCCAGGAAAGCCAUUCCAGUGAAGCAGGGAUCGCUAUACCAUGAAAUAGUAACGCCCUCCUCUCCUGGAGAGGGGCUUGUGGUUCCGGAUUUAUCUGCGGAGAUCCGCACUUUGCUCUCUUCCUACUACAAGGAAAGGGUUCCAGAAAAUUGUCUUUGACAAGGCUCCAGUUUCAAAGAGACAUUCAUACGGACAUAUAAAAACAAGACAUGGAGUGUUGAGUUAUUGAUGACGCUGCCACAGUCGCACUGGAGGAGUGAGAAACUGUUCUUAUUUUAUUCGUUUGUGGUUACCACGCCUGGUCAAGGAAACGGACAUGGACAUGAUAAAUGGUGCUAUUUCAAAAUUUUACCCAACCAGCAGUAUUGGUAACAAAAAAAAAAGGGAGUGAAAGAUGACAAGUGUGAGUCGGAAAUAUCUACCCCAAGCUGACUGUACAUUUUAAAUGCGGAAAAAACUCCCUGUACCAUUGUCUCGCAAUAUUGUACAUUUUGUGCAUGUAAAGAGAGACCAGUACACGUACCAAGUUAUUCUGUUCAUCAGUUCCAGUACAGUAUAUUGAUGUGAUAAUUCACUGAAUUUGCCCAGUGUUUGGAAGACGUCUGCAGUGACGAAUGGAAGACUAUUCUGCCACUAAUGUGUUGCUCAUUUGAAUUUCAAGUGUUAUAAUAAAGCCAUACAAAAGAAAUCAA
This is an RNA transcript of Perca fluviatilis (European perch), 2062 nucleotides long. It is a transcript of the gene named rhotekin-like, with no coding region annotated. The record is from RefSeq and is a predicted model, not a curated record. The transcript is spliced from 15 exons. Lineage: Eukaryota; Metazoa; Chordata; Actinopteri; Perciformes; Percidae.